RNAcentral lists this ribosomal RNA (68 nucleotides) under Lysinibacillus fusiformis. RNAcentral's name for it is "partial 16S ribosomal RNA". It matches the Rfam family "Bacterial small subunit ribosomal RNA", at positions 1 to 66 of the family's 1533-position model. The record is from RNAcentral. Lineage: Bacteria; Bacillati; Bacillota; Bacilli; Caryophanales; Bacillaceae.
CUUUUAUGGAGAGUUUGAUCCUGGCUCAGGACGAACGCUGGCGGCGUGCCUAAUACAUGCAAGUCGAG